RNAcentral lists this ribosomal RNA (335 nucleotides) under Citrobacter koseri. RNAcentral describes it as "bacterial SSU rRNA". It matches the Rfam family "Bacterial small subunit ribosomal RNA", at positions 46 to 377 of the family's 1533-position model. The record is from RNAcentral. Lineage: Bacteria; Pseudomonadati; Pseudomonadota; Gammaproteobacteria; Enterobacterales; Enterobacteriaceae.
GCCUAACACAUGCAAGUCGAACGGUAACAGGAAGCAGCUUGCUGCUUCGCUGACGAGUGGCGGACGGGUGAGUAAUGUCUGGGAAACUGCCUGAUGGAGGGGGAUAACUACUGGAAACGGUAGCUAAUACCGCAUAACGUCGAAAGACCAAAGUGGGGGACCUUCGGGCCUCAUGCCAUCAGAUGUGCCCAGAUGGGAUUAGCUAGUUGGUGGGGUAACGGCUCACCAAGGCGACGAUCCCUAGCUGGUCUGAGAGGAUGACCAGCCACACUGGAACUGAGACACGGUCCAGACUCCUACGGGAGGCAGCAGUGGGGAAUAUUGCACAAUGGGCG